GAUGAACGCUGGCGGCAUGCUUUACACAUGCAAGUCGGACGGGAAGUGGUGUUUCCAGUGGCGGGCGGGUGAGUAACGCGUAAGAACCUGCCCUUGGGAGGGGAACAACAGCUGGAAACGGCUGCUAAUACCCCGUAGGCUGAGGAGCGAAAGGAGGAAUCCGCCCAAGGAGGGGCUCGCGUCUGAUUAGCUAGUUGGUGAGGUAAUAGCUUACCAAGGCCGUGAUCAGUAGCUGGUCCGAGAGGAUGAUCAGCCACACUGGGACUGAGACAAGGCCCAGAGUCGUGGGGGGAGCACAGGGGGGGAAGUGUCCGGAGUGGGCAGAGGGCGGAGGGAGAGAGGCGGGGUGGAGACAAAAGGCGGACGGUAGUUGUAGUGGUUUGGCAGGAGAAGAAAAUAGUGGGGUGGGUGGGAAAGAAGCAGCGGCAUACGCUGGGCCAGCAGCGGGGGUAAUCGGAGGAGGGGCCAUGGCUUGAAC
Molecule: ribosomal RNA, 478 nt
Filed under: uncultured bacterium
Lineage: Bacteria
Description: partial 16S ribosomal RNA
Rfam family: Bacterial small subunit ribosomal RNA (bases 20-303)
Source: RNAcentral